CAAUAGCGUAUAUUAAAGCUGUUGCGGUUAAAAAGCUCGUAGUUGGAUUUCUGUCAAGGACAACUGGUCCGCCCCUCGGGUGAGCACAUAGUUUGGUCUUGGCAUCUUGUUGGAAACUGUUGCUGCACUUGGUUGUGUGGCGCAGUGUCCAGCACUUUCACUUUGAGGAAAUUGGAGUGUUUCAAGCAGGCACAUGCCUUUGGACACAGUAGCAUGGAAUAAUUAGAUUGGGCUUUUGCUCCAACUUGUCGGUUUCUGGAGCUGAGGUGAGAAUUAAUGGGGAUUGUUGGGGGCAUCCGAAUUUAGCCGUCAGAGGUGAAAUUCUUGGAUCUGCUAAAGACGGACAACUGCGAGAGCGUUUGCCCAGGAUGUUUUCAUUGA
Molecule: ribosomal RNA, 381 nt
Filed under: uncultured eukaryote
Lineage: Eukaryota
Description: partial 18S ribosomal RNA
Rfam family: Eukaryotic small subunit ribosomal RNA
Source: RNAcentral